AUUGAACGCUGGCGGCAUGCUUUACACAUGCAAGUCGAACGGUAACAGGUUAAGCUGACGAGUGGCGAACGGGUGAGUAAUGCAUCGGAACGUGCCCGAACGUGGGGGAUAACGCAGCGAAAGCUGCGCUAAUACCGCAUACGAUCUGACGAUGAAAGCGGGGGACCGUAAGGCCUCGCGCGAUCGGAGCGGCCGAUGUCAGAUUAGGGAGUUGGUGGGGUAAAGGCUCACCAAGCCAACGAUAUGUAGCUGGUCGGAGAGGACGACCAGCCACACUGGGACGGAGACACGGCCAAGACCCCGACGGGAGGCGGAAGUGGGGAAUUUUGGACAAUGGGCGAAAGCCUGAUGCAGCAAUGCCGCGUGCAGGAAGAAGGCCUUCGGGUGGUAAACGGCUUUUGUACGGAGCGAAAAGGCGCUCGCUAAUACAGGGGGCUCAUGACGGUACCGUAAGAAUAAGCACCGGCUAACUACGUGCCAGCCGCCGCCGUAA
RNAcentral lists this ribosomal RNA (493 nucleotides) under uncultured bacterium. Its description in RNAcentral is "partial 16S ribosomal RNA". It matches the Rfam family "Bacterial small subunit ribosomal RNA", at positions 29 to 523 of the family's 1533-position model. The record is from RNAcentral.